UAGGGUUAACGCCCAGAAGAGCCGCAGUGAAUAGGCCCAAGCGACUGUUUAUCAAAAACACAGGUCUCUGCUAAACCGUAAGGUGAUGUAUAGGGGCUGACGCCUGCCCGGUGCUGGAAGGUUAAGAAGAGUGGUUAGCUUCUGCGAAGCUACGAAUCGAAGCCCCAGUAAACGGCGGCCGUAACUAUAACGGUCCUAAGGUAGCGAAAUUCCUUGUCGGGUAAGUUCCGACCCGCACGAAAGGCGUAACGAUUU
RNAcentral lists this ribosomal RNA (255 nucleotides) under Staphylococcus aureus. Its description in RNAcentral is "partial 23S ribosomal RNA". It matches the Rfam family "Bacterial large subunit ribosomal RNA", at positions 1756 to 2010 of the family's 2925-position model. Lineage: Bacteria; Bacillati; Bacillota; Bacilli; Caryophanales; Staphylococcaceae. The record is from RNAcentral.